This 452-nucleotide long non-coding RNA is filed under the name Elaeis guineensis (African oil palm). RNAcentral's name for it is "long non-coding RNA (EGUI_LNC066628)". The record is from RNAcentral. Lineage: Eukaryota; Viridiplantae; Streptophyta; Magnoliopsida; Arecales; Arecaceae.
AGAAUGAGAGUACUGAGCGUGACCACCUCGAGUAGUCAUAAGGAAGUCUACCUUCUCAUCGAUGACUAGCUCGAUGCUGCAGCUGUGUGUCUAGUUCUUUGACCUGAGGUACAUCGACAGUUUAUCUUGAGUGUGUUAUAGUUUGACUACACCAUAACUCGAUCUCCUAGCCAUUCAAAAUUCUGAGGUGUAUGUUGGCUAUAGCAUAUUCAUUGUAGGAAUCAGAUCGCACCAAGAAGGGAUCUAUCAACCUCGGUAGAUGAGAGGAGUGUUAUGAUCCAGGUGGUAUGCCCAAGGCCCAGGGGACCAAGGCUAAGGCCAAGGUCCAUCAUUCAUGAGGGCAUCAUGGAGGCUCUAGGGCUAGUUGGGCCCUAGGUUGAAAGAAUAUGGGCCUUUCGGGUUCUUGAGGUCUAGGUUAUGUGGGCCUCAAGAGACCAACUCUUUAUGGGCCA